RNA transcript from Pygocentrus nattereri (red-bellied piranha), 1554 nucleotides. It is a transcript of the gene named transcription factor 15, with no coding region annotated. Lineage: Eukaryota; Metazoa; Chordata; Actinopteri; Characiformes; Serrasalmidae. The transcript is spliced from 3 exons. The record is from RefSeq and is a predicted model, not a curated record.
GAGGGAUUCUGACCAUGUUAAUGAGAGGCUGAAGUCCAGCGUGGCCUGCGGGGUCUGCAGCAUGUGUCAUUAGUGUAAACAGCGCGCGAGCAGCAGAGCAGCGGAGCAGCACGUUCCCUUCUGGAUGCUCGGAUAUUUCCCGCGCUGGAGAAACUCGCAGUUCCACUUUCGCUCGGAGGAUUUGGGUGUUGACGAUGGCGUUCGCCAUGCUGCGGCCCGUGGCCUCGCACCUGGCCUACCCGGAGCACUGCGCGCUCUCCGACGACGAUGAGAACCGCAGCGAGAGCGACGGCAGCUCGGACCAGAGCUACGGCUGCUGCGCGAGCGCGGAGAAGCGGCGGCGCGCGGCACGCAGGCCCGGCUCGGGCAGCCAGCUAGUCGUGAAGCAGCGGAACGCUGCGAACGCGCGCGAGCGGGACAGGACGCAGAGUGUGAACACGGCGUUCACGGCGCUGCGCACGCUCAUCCCCACAGAGCCCGUGGACCGCAAACUGUCUAAGAUCGAGACGCUGCGCCUCGCGUCCAGCUACAUCUCCCACCUGGCCAACGUGCUGCUGACCGGCGACGGUAGCGAGGACGCGCAGCCGUGCCUGAGCGCAGGGUGUCGCGCGCAGGGCGACGGAGGCAGCAAGCAGCCGCGCACCAUCUGCACCUUCUGCCUGAGCAACCAGAGGAAAGGGGUGAAGGAUGGUAAAGACUGUCUCCGGAUGCGUGGAUUAACUUCAGUGCGCGUGAGCCGCCGGUAGCCGCCCACAAGCCGCCGGCCACGAGCCGCGAGACGCCGAACUCAGGGAGCGCGGAGAGUGCAGAGCGCGCGCAGGAGCGCCCAGCAGAGACUGACUUACAGACUGACACUUACAGGAGCCUGCGUGGGUGAGUGUUGGUGUUUGUGUGUGUGCGUGUGUGUAGGUGUACCGCUGGCCCAGGCCUCCAAUCUGAGAUGGUUCCCUGAGGCUUCUGUUCUGCAGGAAGACGUCUGAGACACGCAGGAAAGCAAAACAUGCAUGUCCGACCCCACCACGGAUGUCUCCCUGCGCCGCACACACACACUUACACGCACACACACCUUGCUGUGGGUCAGCUCCGGUCCUGACAUCAUCCGGCAGACUUAGCAGAUGGAUAGCUCCCAGAAGCCAAACCGGGUUGAACGUAUGAAUGAAAAAAAGAUGAGAAGGGGAAAAAGGAAGACAAGCAUCCGCUUUUUUUCUUUUUCUUUAUUUUUUCAACAAAUUCAGCAGGCAGGUUGAUGGCCAGAGGUGGUAGAAGUACAGAAAUUCCAUUAACGCUUAGUGGCUGACUUACUGGACAGACUUACUUACUUUGUAUGACAGACAAAGGAGCAGACAGAAUGGGAUAAAAACACAACAAAACAGCUGAACAGCACACAUUACUGGCAUUAAGCACAUCAACCUAAAGAUAAUCAGCACAAAACCAACUAAACCCUAGCACAACAUGAUCAGCACAGCAUUUAACAAAUAUUACUAAAUAUAUGAAAAACUCCAAAAGUAAAACUCCAUAGACGUUUAGCUAUUGAGCUGGAAGGUAAAGUAUGUA